Molecule: ribosomal RNA, 845 nt
Filed under: uncultured Pseudomonas sp.
Lineage: Bacteria; Pseudomonadati; Pseudomonadota; Gammaproteobacteria; Pseudomonadales; Pseudomonadaceae
Description: bacterial SSU rRNA
Rfam family: Bacterial small subunit ribosomal RNA
Source: RNAcentral
UCAGAUUGAACGCUGGCGGCAGGCCUAACACAUGCAAGUCGAGCGGUAGAGAGAAGCUUGCUUCUCUUGAGAGCGGCGGACGGGUGAGUAAUGCCUAGGAAUCUGCCUGGUAGUGGGGGAUAACGUUCGGAAACGGACGCUAAUACCGCAUACGUCCUACGGGAGAAAGCAGGGGACCUUCGGGCCUUGCGCUAUCAGAUGAGCCUAGGUCGGAUUAGCUAGUUGGUGAGGUAAUGGCUCACCAAGGCGACGAUCCGUAACUGGUCUGAGAGGAUGAUCAGUCACACUGGAACUGAGACACGGUCCAGACUCCUACGGGAGGCAGCAGUGGGGAAUAUUGGACAAUGGGCGAAAGCCUGAUCCAGCCAUGCCGCGUGUGUGAAGAAGGUCUUCGGAUUGUAAAGCACUUUAAGUUGGGAGGAAGGGUUGUAGAUUAAUACUCUGCAAUUUUGACGUUACCGACAGAAUAAGCACCGGCUAACUCUGUGCCAGCAGCCGCGGUAAUACAGAGGGUGCAAGCGUUAAUCGGAAUUACUGGGCGUAAAGCGCGCGUAGGUGGUUUGUUAAGUUGGAUGUGAAAUCCCCGGGCUCAACCUGGGAACUGCAUUCAAAACUGACUGACUAGAGUAUGGUAGAGGGUGGUGGAAUUUCCUGUGUAGCGGUGAAAUGCGUAGAUAUAGGAAGGAACACCAGUGGCGAAGGCGACCACCUGGACUAAUACUGACACUGAGGUGCGAAAGCGUGGGGAGCAAACAGGAUUAGAUACCCUGGUAGUCCACGCCGUAAACGAUGUCAACUAGCCGUUGGAAGCCUUGAGCUUUUAGUGGCGCAGCUAACGCAUUAAG